RNAcentral lists this ribosomal RNA (252 nucleotides) under uncultured bacterium. RNAcentral's name for it is "partial 16S ribosomal RNA". It matches the Rfam family "Bacterial small subunit ribosomal RNA", at positions 57 to 305 of the family's 1533-position model. The record is from RNAcentral.
GCAAGUCUACGAGAAUUGAGGUGCUUGCACUUCAAGGGCAGUGGCUAACGGUUGAGUAACGGGUAGAUAACUACCUUUUGGAUUGGGAUAAUUCAUGGAAACGUGGACUAAUACCGAAUGUUAUAUUAGUAUCGCAUGAUACCUAGAUUAAAGAGCUUGAAUCGCUAAAAGAUGGGUCUGCGUGACAUUAGUUUGUUGGCGAGGUAACGGCUCACCAAGACUACGAUGUCUAGCUGGUCUGAGAGGAUGAUC